Molecule: transfer RNA, 89 nt
Filed under: Candidatus Nanohaloarchaea archaeon
Lineage: Archaea; Methanobacteriati; Methanobacteriota; Candidatus Nanohaloarchaea
Description: tRNA-Ser
Rfam family: tRNA
About the family: Transfer RNA (tRNA) molecules are approximately 80 nucleotides in length. Their secondary structure includes four short double-helical elements and three loops (D, anti-codon, and T loops). Further hydrogen bonds mediate the characteristic L-shaped molecular structure. tRNAs have two regions of fundamental functional importance: the anti-codon, which is responsible for specific mRNA codon recognition, and the 3' end, to which the tRNAs corresponding amino acid is attached (by aminoacyl-tRNA synthetases). tRNAs cope with the degeneracy of the genetic code in two manners: having more than one tRNA (with a specific anti-codon) for a particular amino acid; and 'wobble' base-pairing, i.e. permitting non-standard base-pairing at the 3rd anti-codon position.
Source: RNAcentral
GUCAGGGUGGCGGAGUGGUCUAACGCGGUGGCUUGCUAAGCCAUUGAGGGUAUUACGCUCUCACCCGGGUUCAAAUCCCGGCCCUGGCG